This 449-nucleotide ribosomal RNA is filed under the name uncultured bacterium. RNAcentral describes it as "bacterial SSU rRNA". It matches the Rfam family "Bacterial small subunit ribosomal RNA", at positions 353 to 793 of the family's 1533-position model. The record is from RNAcentral.
AGUGGGGAAUAUUGCACAAUGGGCGCAAGCCUGAUGCAGCCAUGCCGCGUGUAUGAAGAAGGGCCUUCGGGUUGUAAAGUACUUUCAGCAGUGAGGAAGGUGGAUAUGUUAAUAGCAUAUUCAUUUGACGUUAGCUGCAGAAGAAGCACCGGCUAAACUCCGUGCCAGCAGCCGCGGUAAUACGGAGGGUGCGAGCGUUAAUCGGAAUUACUGGGCGUAAAGCGCAUGCAGGUGGUUUGUUAAGUCAGAUGUGAAAGCCCGGGGCUCAACCUCGGAAUUGCAUUUGAAACUGGCAAACUAGAGUACUGUAGAGGGGGUAGAAUUUCAGGUGUAGCGGUGAAAUGCGUAGAGAUCUGAAGGAAUACCGGUGGCGAAGGCGGCCCCCUGGACAGAUACUGACACUCAGAUGCGAAAGCGUGGGGAGCAAACAGGAUUAGAUACCCUGGUAG